Molecule: long non-coding RNA, 1759 nt
Organism: Equus asinus (donkey)
Lineage: Eukaryota; Metazoa; Chordata; Mammalia; Perissodactyla; Equidae
Source: Ensembl
AGUCAUAUUUACAAUUUUUACAAAUGAGUUUAUUUUAAUAAAAACAAGUUACUCUGAGCAUGAUCUCUAAACAGAUUUAUGUGGGCUGGCACAAUCUGCUAUGCUAAACAUAUAUUCAUAAUGCUUAGGUCUGCAACCAAUUUUUUUGAGUGUGAUAACAGUCUUGCUUUGUAAAAGGAUACCAAAUAAUUGGCAGCAAUUCAGCUAAGGACACUGUUCUCAGCACCGUGCUAUUGAAAUUCUUUUCCUGGACAGAAUUGCCCUGUGGGCAUGGCCCUAAAUUGGAAGGACUCUGGGCUACUGGCAUUGGGCAGUGAACCAGGCAGACAGUUUAUAGAGAGAAGGAGACUGUAAUCUCCUUGAAGACAGAAAUAUCGCCUGACUCAGCCUGGCAGCUCCCACAGUGCCUGAUAUAAUACGCUGGUGCUCAAAAACCUGAUUGUUAAAUGCAUGAACGGAAGAAUGAAUUUCUGUAUCUGAAGCAUUUCCUUUCUUCAAGUCCUAAAGCAGAGGUUCUCGGUGGGCACAGUACUGCCCCCUGGGGGGCAUAUUGAAAUUUUGUGGGGGCAGUUUUUGUCGGGUAUUGUUCUCAUAUUGGUGCCAGUGUAUUUGUAUAGUGAAAAACGUAUUAUCUUUUAUUGAUGUUAGUAUUGUAUUUUAGAAUAAACUACUUUCCUCUUUUUUGCCUUUGUAUUAUUAGAACAUUACAUUGGUUUCUUGAAAUUAUUUGUGUAGUUUACAUUAUCUAUGAAUUUAAUUCCGGGAGAGUAAAGUGGUAUUCAAUUUUUGUUGUAAAUACAGAGUGUUGAGUAUGGCAGGAGCGAACACCUCUGCUUAUAAGAUCAUUAAGCUUUGCUCGAUUCUGCUUCCACAAGUUCUGGGAUUCUAAGACGAAACAUACAAAUAAAAACAAGCUGGUGUACGUUGAUUUCAACGAUCAGGCUUUCACUGUAAGCAACUGCAUAUUUUAGGAUUAACGUGGCUCAGUGGAGCGCUGAGUCGAAGCACAGCGGGUCCGUGACUGCGGUGGGGACUGAACAUCAAGGCACCACGCUCUCACACGUCCAGGCCCGUGACUCUACUACUCCACUGUGCUGAGUAGCUUGGAUGGUGCGUGGUUUCUCUUGGCUUUGGUUUGCACUUUUCUUCAUCCAAAAAAUGACGUGGGUGGUGGAGGGAAGGGGAGGUGGGAGGGGCAAUGACGCCGUCCCCGAAGCCCGGGUCCGCAGCUGGCCCCCUCUGAGGGGCUGGGUUCACACUGAAGCUGUCUGGAUUUAGGGACCACGGCUUGAAAAGAAAGCCCUCCAGAAAAGCGAGUCGUGAGGGGGGAAAGGAGGAUUUUCAGAGAGCAGAGGGACCCGAAGGUGGCUCCGUCUAGCACGGUGGUUCCAAGCGAGGUUGAACUUUUAGUGUCAGCGGGUGGAGCUGCGGCUUGUGCUGGAAUCGGGACCGGAGGCAAGAAGAGGCGGGGCGGCGGUUGACAGGAGGUGGGGCUUCGGGCUAGAAUCGAGACGGGCCUCGGGGAGGCGGGGCUUCUAUUGACAGUGGGCGGGGACUCCGCGGAGAGGAGGCGGGGCUUGGAUAGUACCGCCGCGGGGAGAUGGGGCUGACGAUAACGAGGGGCGUUUCUCGCGAUCCGGCAGUAACAUGAGGCAGACGGAGAGCCCAGAGGGCGGGGCCACAGCUGACAGCAGGCGGGGCUGCCUUCUGGAUGGACCUGAGUGAAGACCAGACUUCAAUCGAUAGAGGGCGGAGCUAU